GUACGGGAGGCAGCAGUGGGGAAUAUUGGACAAUGGGCGCAAGCCUGAUCCAGCGAUGCCGCGUGUGUGAAGAAGGCCUGCGGGUUGUAAAGCACUUUCAGUGGGGAGAACGAGGCCUGGGUUAAUACCCUGGGCGGAAGAUGUUACCCACAGAAGAAGCACCGGCUAACUCUGUGCCAGCAGCCGCGGUAAUACAGAGGGUGCAAGCGUUAAUCGAAAUUACUGGGCGUAAAGGGUGCGUAGGUGGUUUGAUAAGUUAGAUGUGAAAGUCCUGGGCUCAACCUGGGGACUGCGUCUGAUACUGUUGAGCUAGAGUUCUGUAGAGGAAGGUGGAAUUUCCGGAGUAGCGGUGAAAUGCGUAGAUAUCGGAAGGAACAUCGGUGGCGAAGGCGGCCUUCUGGACAGGAACUGACACUGAGGCACGAAAGCGUGGGGAGCAAACAGGAUUAGAUACCCUGGUAGUCCC
Molecule: ribosomal RNA, 466 nt
Filed under: uncultured bacterium
Lineage: Bacteria
Description: bacterial SSU rRNA
Rfam family: Bacterial small subunit ribosomal RNA
Source: RNAcentral